Molecule: long non-coding RNA, 1394 nt
Filed under: Homo sapiens (human)
Lineage: Eukaryota; Metazoa; Chordata; Mammalia; Primates; Hominidae
Description: HSALNT0331930
Source: RNAcentral
GGGGUCCUGCACUGCGCAUGUGCCUCGCGGGCUCCGCGGCCCCCUUCCCACUGCGCCCUGGCACCCACUCGCGCCCCCUCGCGGGCCACGUUGGUUAAAUGAACGGAUGCAGGAUACAGAGGGCCUGUGGAUAUAGACGGCUGACUGAAUGUACACGUUUACUAUAUAAUUUUGUUUGUAAAUUAUAUUAUGAUUUAAUUCUAUUUAUAACUUUAUAAUUUUUUGUUUUACAAGCCUAUAGAAUUAUAUAUAAUUAUUGUAGUUUAUCCUUAUCUCUGUUUCACGGAGAGGUAAAUGAUGACCAGGGAGUUACAAAGCUUCAUAAGUUUCUCGUGAGUACCAGGGAGCAGAGCCGGGGUCUAAACCAGUCUGCCUUUUUUCUGAAGCCAGAGUCCUCUUCUUUACACCAAGCUACUCUAUAGAAAGAGCAUUCUCAGGCCAGGCGCAGUGGUUCACACCUGUAAUCCCAGCACUUUGGGAGGCCGAGACGGGUGGAUCACCUGAGGCCAGGAGUUGGAGACCAGCCUGACCAACAUGGUGAAACUCCGUCUCUACUAAAAAUACAAAAAUUAGCCAGGCGUGGUGGCCUGCACCUGCAAUCCCAGCUAUUCAGGAGGUGGAAGUAGGAGAAUCGCUUGAACCCGGGAGGUGAAGGUUGCAGUGAACCAGGAUCACGCCACUGCACCGGGAUCGUGCCACUGCACUCCAGCCUGAGCGACAGACUCCGUCUCACCAAAAAAAAAAGGAAUGUGUAUUGGAGAAAAAAUAACAGAGUCUGGCUAAAGAGAUGAAGAGCUCAUGAGGGCGUGUCUCAAUUUAAACAAGAGUAGCAUUGGCAAUUGUUGUCCUUAGCAGCAGCCGACAAGGCGGAAUUGGAAUGGUGCUGCUCCUGACUACCUCUACUCCACGCUAGGCUUAGGGGCUGGAGUGACCCAAGCCCUCAGGGACCUGCAGCGGCUGAAGUCCUCUCAGCACCUGCAAUAUCCCAGAGGGCAAAGACAGGGCCAAAUACUGGAUUCUGGAUUCUCUUCAUUGUUGUCCCCCUGCAAGUGGAGAGGUAUCCAGGCUGGGCCUUGUCCUAAGAUAUGACGGAACUGAAUUCUUCCAGCAAGCAUGUGAGCUUGGAAGAGAACACCAUGCGCCACACGAGAAUGCAUACUGGCCAACACCCUGUGCAAAGAUCCAGAGAAGCUGUGCUCAGACUCCUGACUCAUGAAAAUAGUGAACUUAUAAAUGUAUAUUGUUUUAAGAUGCUAAAUUUGUGGUGAUGUGUUACAUGGCAAUAGAAAACUAAUAGAGAUAAAACUUGACAUUUGAAGUGCAUCACAUAAUGAAAUUAGUAGAUGAGAAUCUCUCUAGAAACAAGUAAAAUUUUGAGUUAAAAUGAGAGACUG